UGGGGAAUUUUGGACAAUGGGCGAAAGCCUGAUCCAGCAAUGCCGCGUGCAGGAUGAAGGCCUUCGGGUUGUAAACUGCUUUUGUACGGAACGAAAAAGCUUCUCCUAAUACGAGAGGCCCAUGACGGUACCGUAAGAAUAAGCACCGGCUAACUACGUGCCAGCAGCCGCGGUAAUACGUAGGGUGCGAGCGUUAAUCGGAAUUACUGGGCGUAAAGCGUGCGCAGGCGGUUAUGUAAGACAGAUGUGAAAUCCCCGGGCUCAACCUGGGAACUGCAUUUGUGACUGCAUGGCUAGAGUACGGUAGAGGGGGAUGGAAUUCCGCGUGUAGCAGUGAAAUGCGUAGAUAUGCGGAGGAACACCGAUGGCGAAGGCAAUCCCCUGGACCUGUACUGACGCUCAUGCACGAAAGCGUGGGGAGCAAACAGGAUUAGAUACCCUGGUAGUCCACGCCCUAAACGAUGUCAACUGGUUGUUGGGGAAAUUAGUUUUCUCAGUAACGAAGCUAACGCGUGAAGUUGACCGCCUGGGGAGUACGGCCGCAAGGUUGAAACUUAAAGGAAUU
This 565-nucleotide ribosomal RNA is filed under the name uncultured bacterium. Its description in RNAcentral is "partial 16S ribosomal RNA". It matches the Rfam family "Bacterial small subunit ribosomal RNA", at positions 355 to 911 of the family's 1533-position model. The record is from RNAcentral.